This 477-nucleotide ribosomal RNA is filed under the name uncultured bacterium. RNAcentral's name for it is "partial 16S ribosomal RNA". It matches the Rfam family "Bacterial small subunit ribosomal RNA", at positions 28 to 507 of the family's 1533-position model. The record is from RNAcentral.
GAUGAACGCUAGCGGCAGGCCUAACACAUGCAAGUCGAGGGAGAAGCCCUUUCGGGGGCAGAAACCGGCGCACGGGUGCGUAACGCGUAUGCAACCUACCUUUCACAGGGGGAUAGCCCGAAGAAAUUUGGAUUAAUACCCCAUAAUAUUAUUGGAUGGCAUCAUUUGAUAAUUAAAACUGCGGUGGUGAAAGAUGGGCAUGCGUCCUAUUAGCUAGUUGGAGUGGUAACGGCACCCCAAGGCUACGAUAGGUAGGGGUCCUGAGAGGGGGAUCCCCCACACUGGUACUGGGACAAGACCCAGACCCCAGGGGGAGGAAGGGGUGAGGAAAAUUGGGCAAGGGGCGGAAGACAGAACCAGCCAGGCCGGGUGGAGGAAAAAUGCUUUUGGGGUUUUAAACUGUUUUUAAAAGGGAAAAAAAGGGCGUACGUGGACGUUGUUGCCGGACCCAAAUAAAAAAGCAUGGCCAAACUCGUG